RNAcentral lists this ribosomal RNA (446 nucleotides) under uncultured bacterium. RNAcentral's name for it is "bacterial SSU rRNA". It matches the Rfam family "Bacterial small subunit ribosomal RNA", at positions 329 to 792 of the family's 1533-position model. The record is from RNAcentral.
GCCCAGACUCCUACGGGAGGCAGCAGUGGGGAAUAUUGCACAAUGGGGGAAACCCUGAUGCAGCGACGCCGCGUGAGCGAUGAAGUAUUUCGGUAUGUAAAGCUCUAUCAGCAGGGAAGAAAAUGACGGUACCUGACUAAGAAGCCCCGGCUAACUACGUGCCAGCAGCCGCGGUAAUACGUAGGGGGCAAGCGUUAUCCGGAUUUACUGGGUGUAAAGGGAGCGUAGACGGCUGUGCAAGCCAGAUGUGAAAGCCCGGGGCUCAACCCCGGGACUGCAUUUGGAACUGUGUGGCUGGAGUGUCGGAGAGGCAGGCGGAAUUCCUAGUGUAGUGGUGAAAUGCGUAGAUAUUAGGAGGAACACCAGUGGCGAAGGCGGCCUGCUGGACGAUGACUGACGUUGAGGCUCGAAAGCGUGGGGAGCAAACAGGAUUAGAUACCCCUGUA